GAAAAUCUUAGGAAACGUACCGACAAUGUAAAUGAUGAAGAGAAGAAUCUCGUCUAACCAAAAGGUUUUUAUCGUCUCGCUUCGAAAAAAGAUUAGAGACAGUCAAUACAUCGGGCAGGGUUAUCGCAUCCUCUCUUGUCAAGAGCUGUACUUUGUCAUAAACGCCCAACAGAGUUUUAGCUUUUAUAUAAAAAGGGGACGGUAAAGUCGGUGCGUUAGCAGUAUAUAAUGGAUACCGUCGCCAUGUACGCGUUUACCGAUUUAAGGAAACUGACUUCAAAAAUUUGAGAAGCUGAGUUCCUAGUUUCUACUUGAAUUUUUUACAAGAUAUAAAUAUAUAAUAUAAAGAAUUUAUCUGGUCCAAAAAUUUGACGUAACUAUUGGAAACGAUAAUAUAACUACAACCUGGUAUUUUCAUCUGUAUGGAAAUCUACAACCAACUAAUUUACAAACAAGUCAAGAAAACUAUCCAUGGAAACGGUAAUCUUAAUUAUAAUGUCCAUACGGCUAAACGAGACACGGAUACACGGAUGAAAAAUAUAUUUUAUGUUGAAAGGGAUAUGAAGCAUCAGUAAAUAUAUUUAAUUUUGUUAAU
Molecule: long non-coding RNA, 595 nt
Organism: Ceratosolen solmsi marchali
Lineage: Eukaryota; Metazoa; Arthropoda; Insecta; Hymenoptera; Agaonidae
Exons: 4
Source: RefSeq, a predicted model, not a curated record